Molecule: ribosomal RNA, 380 nt
Filed under: uncultured eukaryote
Lineage: Eukaryota
Description: partial 18S ribosomal RNA
Rfam family: Eukaryotic small subunit ribosomal RNA
Source: RNAcentral
CAAUAGCGUAUAUUAAAGUUGUUGCGGUUAAAAAGCUCGUAGUUGGAGUUCUGCCAGGUGACGCUCGUCCGCCCAAGUGGUGUGUACAGGGCGUGCAUCUGGCCCUUUCAAGGGGAACGUGUCUGCUCUUUACUGAGUGGUGCGAGAUCCUUGACUUUUACUUUGAGGAAAUAAGAGUGUUCCAAGCAGGCUCUCGUCGUGCAUAGCUCAGCAUGGAAUAAUAGCAUUGGACUUCGUUUCUAAGCUGUUGGUUGCAAGAAGCGAGGUAAUGAUGAAGAGGGAUAGUUGGGGGCAUUCGUAUUUAACUGUCAGAGGUGAAAUUCUUGGAUUUGUUAAAGACGGACUACUGCGAAANCANNNGCCAUGGAUGUUUUCAUNGA